This 1350-nucleotide ribosomal RNA is filed under the name bacterium NLAE-zl-G324. RNAcentral describes it as "16S ribosomal RNA". It matches the Rfam family "Bacterial small subunit ribosomal RNA", at positions 95 to 1450 of the family's 1533-position model. The record is from RNAcentral.
GUGGCGGACGGGUGAGUAACGCGUAAAGAACUUGCCUUACAGACUGGGACAACAUUUGGAAACGAAUGCUAAUACCGGAUAUUAUGACUGAGUCGCAUGAUUUGGUUAUGAAAGCUAUAUGCGCUGUGAGAGAGCUUUGCGUCCCAUUAGUUAGUUGGUGAGGUAACGGCUCACCAAGACGAUGAUGGGUAGCCGGCCUGAGAGGGUGAACGGCCACAAGGGGACUGAGACACGGCCCUUACUCCUACGGGAGGCAGCAGUGGGGAAUAUUGGACAAUGGACCAAAAGUCUGAUCCAGCAAUUCUGUGUGCACGAUGAAGUUUUUUCGGAAUGUAAAGUGCUUUCAGUUGGGAAGAAGUCAGUGACGGUACCCAACAGAAGAAGCGACGGCUAAAUACGUGCCAGCAGCCGCGGUAAUACGUAUGUCGCAAGCGUUAUCCGGAUUUAUUGGGCGUAAAGCGCGUCUAGGCGGUUUAGUAAGUCUGAUGUGAAAAUGCGGGGCUCAACCCCGUAUUGCGUUGGAAACUGCUAAACUAGAGUACUGGAGAGGUAGGCGGAACUACAAGUGUAGAGGUGAAAUUCGUAGAUAUUUGUAGGAAUGCCGAUGGGGAAGCCAGCCUACUGGACAGAUACUGACGCUAAAGCGCGAAAGCGUGGGUAGCAAACAGGAUUAGAUACCCUGGUAGUCCACGCCGUAAACGAUGAUUACUAGGUGUUGGGGGUCGAACCUCAGCGCCCAAGCUAACGCGAUAAGUAAUCCGCCUGGGGAGUACGUACGCAAGUAUGAAACUCAAAGGAAUUGACGGGGACCCGCACAAGCGGUGGAGCAUGUGGUUUAAUUNCGACGCAACGCGAGGAACCNUUACCAGCGUUUGACAUCCCAAGAAGUUAACAGAGAUGUUUUCGUGCCCUCUUCGGAAGGAACUUGGUGACAGGUGGUGCAUGGCUGUCGUCACCUCGUGUCGUGAGAUGUUGGGUUAAGUCCCCCAACGAGCGCAACCCCUUUCGUAUGUUACCAUCAUUAAGUUGGGGACUCAUGCGAGACUGCCUGCGAUGAGCAGGAGGAAGGUGGGGAUGACGUCAAGUCAUCAUGCCCCUUAUACGCUGGGCUACACACGUGCUACAAUGGGUAGUACAGAGAGCUGCAAACCUGCGAGGGUAAGCUAAUCUCAUAAAACUAUUCUUAGUUCGGAUUGUACUCUGCAACUCGAGUACAUGAAGUUGGAAUCGCUAGUAAUCGCAAAUCAGCUAUGUUGCGGUGAAUACGUUCUCGGGUCUUGUACACACCGCCCNACACACCACGAGAGUUGGUUGCACCCUGAAGUAAACAGGCCUAANCCGUAAGGAGGG